GUCUAUGGCCAUGUUGCUUUGAAUGAGCCUGACCUUGGCUGAUCUCUGAAGCUGAGUAGUGUUGAGCCUGGUUAGUAUUUGGAUAAGAGAAAUACUGCUGUUAAAAAGU
RNAcentral lists this ribosomal RNA (109 nucleotides) under Nannospalax galili (Upper Galilee mountains blind mole rat). Lineage: Eukaryota; Metazoa; Chordata; Mammalia; Rodentia; Spalacidae. The record is from RNAcentral.